GUGUGAGCUUUGGCAACACAUGCAGUAAAGUCGGAGAAAUACAGAGAAGAUGAGCAUAGCCCCUACACUAAAAUGACACAAAUAUUUAUUAGACAUUCUAUAGUAGA
Non-coding RNA from Erinaceus europaeus (western European hedgehog), 107 nucleotides. NCBI's taxonomy places the organism in Eukaryota, Metazoa, Chordata, Mammalia, Eulipotyphla, Erinaceidae. The record is from Rfam.